CAAGGCUACAGGAGAGUUUACAUCAGCUGCUUUCGUUACUGCACCCUAAAUAGCAUCUAAACCAAAGGCUCCUGGUCUGGAUUACUGAGCCUAUGUGGAAACAUGAGAAGAACCAGAAAGAUAAGUAUUUCAUAUUGUAUCCAGAGCAUUUCCCGUAAUUGCUCUGUUUCCUGCUCUACUUCCUACAGUACUUCUCUACCCCUCAGCUGUCUUUUGCUUCCCGUUUACUCUGUUAACCUUCACCUCGUGUCCUCCAGCAUCCAUCUGUUCUGGUAGCAUCCUGAACCCUUCAUCUCACAGUGCCUCCCCUUUGUUGUGUGGAUGGCACUGCUGUCAGCAAUGCCCUAUGUAUCCCAGCUGCUGGUUCUUAUAGGCAGUAUAAAAUAAUAACAGUAAUAAUAACAAUAAGUGGCUUCUCUGGAUUUAAUUUAGCUUGUUCUAUGAGAAAAGUGGUAUGCAGUUUUCAUUCCCCAAAACCUUUUGUAAAACUGGUGCUUCCAUAGGUGGAUCUCUUUACUCUGAGUCAUCUGAUGGCCAGAAGGAAUCUGAGACAGCAUCUUUAGAGGCCUCUAAAAGUGUUCAUCGAGUUUCCUAGCUUUUAAAAUUUUGUUACUCUCUUGCCAUUGACCUUACAGGAACUAUGGAUUCGAUCACUGGAGCCAGACUAAUGAUUUUUAUUGCAGAGCCGCUGAGCUAGGGUUAAUGUUAUCAGCGUUAUUUGCCAUUGGAGCAACUGUAUAUUUUGGUACUCUUAAUCCUGACAUGACAUUGGGUUGUUGGUGUUGGGCUGCAUGUAUAUGUGGUGCACAUAUAUGCACACAUGUUCAGUGUUUCCAUAGUUCAGAAUUAAAAUGCCCAAUGUAGUUAUGGGAGAAUUAAUCCAGCAAGGAGGAUUUGGAGGAGGAUGAAGGGUGAUGAUCUGAUGGAAAAAUCCUUGUUUUAGAGCUGGGAAGACUGUUUUAUGUUCUGUCCCAAACUUUUUCUUCUGCAAACUGCUUUGAGAGGAAUUUAGAAAGCAAGCUCUGUUUGCUGUUGUCUACAUGAGGACAAGGAUGUCUUUGAUUUCUGCUGCUCUUUCUGUAUGUGUUGUGGGGGGCUGGACCUUGCAGCAUCACCAGUGACUACCUCCAGUCACGUCUUUCUCAGUCAUACUGAGAAGAUCUGCUCUUGCUGAACGUCAGGGAGAACCAAGAUUUUAACUCAUUUUUGCUUGUGUGCUGUUGAAAAUAUCUGCUUGUCCUUUUCCUCUGCUCUGCAAAUACAAAGCUAAGAUUUCCUGUAGUGAUCCAGCUUAGGUUUAGAUGCCAAGAUACAGUAGCUGGAGGGCUGUGGAAGUGGAAAGCAUAGUGAUGUUGCCUGUUUGUAUAGAUAUACUGCAAACCCUGUGUAUCUGAAGUGGUGUUGUUACUGUCUUCGGUUGCUCGUUGGGUUUGACCUUCUCCUCAGUUCUGGCUGGGAUUUCUUUCUCCGGCUUUAGCUGUUGAAAAGGUAGGCUGUCUAAGCAACUUGUUCAGACUUGCUUUAGUCAGCAUAACGAGAAAAGGCAUCACCAAAAAUGAAUUAAUCCCACUCAAAGUCAAGUACCAAGGAUCUGAAGGUUGUGGGAAGAGGUUUCAUUUAUUUAUUUAUUUAUUUAUUUAUUUUAGGAAUUGUUUGUUAGGCAUAGAAGGAAAAUGAGACAGUCUUAUAAAUCUGGAGUGGAAAACUCACUAUUCCUUAGAAUUAACAAUCCUUCCCUUAUCACCUUCGUCUCUCCUUCUGCAAACAUAUGACGUUUUUCGUUACACAGGAUCUGAUUUUAAACCAAACCAAACCAAGAGUGAUAUCAGAAUGUAGACAGGAAUGUUACUCAAUCAGUGUUUUCUCAGUUAAGUUUUCCAAGUGUUUUAGUAUCAAAACAAAGCUUUGUUUAUUUUUCUUUUCUGCAAAUAGAGAAAUAUCUGAAUAACUGGUGUAAAUAAUAAAUUAACAUGGCUGGGUGAUUUCAUUUUGCUCUUAAAUGCAAAGGGUCUCUUUGGGGAUUUUCAACAGGAAAUGACCAUAUUUUCAUAUCACUGCACAUGAUUCUACAUCUCAGCUGAGUGAGAUGCAGUUGAAAAAACAAAAAGGAACCCAUGCACAGAUAAAUGUAGCUCUUGUUUAAAACAUCAUCAUUAUCUCUCAAUUUUGCUGAUUUCUCCAAACAAAACUGUGUUUGCGAGUGUUUUCAGUAUCUGAGUUGCUCACUCAGAAGAGUUUAAUGAACGCUUUUUACUGUGAAUGCUUGCACGCCUGCCUUUCUUGUUUCCAUAUUCCACUCAGUAUAUGUUUGUGGCUAUGAGCUGGAAGGGGUCUGACUCUUAGGAGUUCGGAUGGGAUCUAAGCAAGAGCAAUCUGUACCCGAAGAAAGAUGUAAUGGUAAACUUAAAGAAAUGUUAUGGAUAAAAUAAUGAAAUAUGAAGACAUUUGCUGUAGGGAUUUGUAAACUAAAAUAUUGUUUCAGAUUCUCUUUUUUUCCUUUUCUGUGGAAAUUUUUGAAACACCUCUUCCAUCUCUCCAGGGCCUUUUCAUGUCAUACAGAAGAUGAAAAGUUCUGCUCUUCUUCCAGGCAAAAACUGAUGUGAUGUUUGUAAAGUCUAGCUAGCAUUGUGAAACAAGCAAUUGCAAACAAUAAAUAAUAGAGGUGCUAAUAUUUUGUUCAUAACCUUACCCAUUUUUGUGUUAUGCCCUCAGUAACGAUAAUCAAUGAUACCGUUUGCUACAGCACAUUUUUAGUCCUGGAGAUCUUGGCUCAGUGAGGUCACCAAUGAAAUAAGAUUAGUGUUUUAUUUAUAGGUGUCUUACAAAACCUACUUCAUCAGCUGCUCCAGGGUCUAUAUGGCAGCAGUUUUCCAUGGAAGCAUCACACAAAAAGUUAUGAAGAAUAUUUUGAAGGGAGGAGGCAGGCAAGAAGCUCUACAAGAUUAGGGGCCUGGACAAGGCCGUAGACGAGAAACUCUUUUGCUCUAGAGAGCAAAGGGAGCUGGAACAGAGCAAUUGCAGUCAUGAUUAGUUCUGCAAAGAGGCUAUGCAAAAAAUAUUUAUCAUUUUCAAAUGAUGGUGGGGUCUUUCACCUUAGGCUUUAUCCUCAAGGUGAACUCUUAACAGCUGUAGCACAAUGGUGCCAGGUGCUCUUUGGAUCUCUGGAUAUUGAUUACCUUUCAUGCAGCAAAUUACCACUACGAGUCCAGAAAAAAUGUGUCUGGUGUUUUUUUUUUUUUUUUUUCCAUGGCUUUCAGAGUGUUUCUGAGCUAUUCUGUACGGGGUAGGACUACACAGGCCCAGAAUCAGACCUUUAGAUACGAGGGGAAACUUUCGUCUCUGUUGGGAAGAUACCUAGAUUUGGAGUCAUAGUGUUGUCUUUGUACUUAAAUCUUUCAUUAGAUUUUGCUCUUACAUAGCACCAGUGCUUUGGCUUCAUUUAGGAAACUCAUUUGUGUGAGGAUUGCCAGUUCUUUUCAAGAGCAGGGAGUAAAAUUCUGGGUGAAGUAUCCGACAACCCUGUGCAGUAUGAGCACAACCGACUGUCCUGCCCUGGGACAGAGAUAGUGUAACUGAAUUUUGGCUGUUUAAGAGGGGUGGCUGAUCUGGCUGUACAGUCUCUACCUUUCCUCAGCAGUAAGAGCCAUCUGUAGGUCACCUGUAGUAGAGACGCCACCCCCCCGUCAGAGCCUGCCUCCCUCCGUGCAUUUGUGAAGGUGCUCAGCAAGUUCCUGUCAUCUGUAAGUGGAGGACUGGGUCCACUGCAACUGCCAGCAUCUACUGAGGAAUUUGGCUUCAGUGUGAGGCUGCCUAUGGCACUGCCCACUCUGACCAACUCAGAGAGAUCUGGCAGGUGGGGAGUGUUUCAGCACAACCUAAAGUCAGGGUUUGGGAGGGAUGGAGCAAAAGAUAUCCUGGAGGAAAACUGAGUCACGUUUGGAUGUGCUGCAUCCUGCCUUAUGGUUUACAAACAACAGCUGGGCAGGUGUCAGGUCUUGCAUAUAAAUGUGGCAGAGGGUCUGACCAAACCGAAUCUGACUGAUGGAUGCGUGCCUGGACGCAGGCAUUAGCCAAACAGUCGUGAAGAGUAUUUGAUUAGAAAGGGACGGCCUGAAAAGUGUCAGAUUACCAGAUACAAAGGCCAGACCUUUAAGGUUAUCUACUUUGUCUUCUUUUAUGAAAAGAAUUUCCUAAUUAUUUUUACUGCAAGCCCAAGAAUGUUAAAUGUAAGCUCUAAUGCAAAAAAACAAUAGGUAAUCCAUCACACAUACCUUUGUGAAACAGCCAUGCAGUUCAAAAGGCUUAAAAUAAACAAGUAUAAAAGCGUACUGUGAUGUUGUUUUUUUCUUCAUAAAGAUUUUUCAAUUUUCUGCUCAGAGGAGCUUUUUACUGUAAGAAUACAGUUUCUGAUCUGCUCUUGUUUAUAUAUUUUGUGUAGGAAACCGUACAUACUGAAGGAACACAGAAUAUAGUGCUUGUUGUAAAAUGAUACUGUAAGUAAGGCCAAAUUAAAUACUCUAAUGUUUCACUGUUCACUGGCUAGUAUCCAUUUUCUCAGUGUUUUCAGAUAAAGGUCUGGAUUCAUCCUUGUUUGAUAAAAGCUUCUUGCCUGAGAAGAGCCAAGUAGGGUUGUUAGUCCCUGUUUCUCACGUGGUGACUGGGGAGAAAUCUGCUCUUACAAGGUGAUUCCUCUCUUAUGUGCAGUGGAUCACUCUGAAAGUGCUUGCUCCUUUGAGGGGACUGUAGGAGAUAGGUGAAGCCCUGGACAAUUAAACUCGCACUGUAGGUAAUGAAGUAGGAUAAAUCUAGGAUUGAGUGGUUGACUUUAAGAUCUUAAAACAACAUGCAGACUACCUGUAUCUUUCAGAUGGUCAUACCUAGCAGUUGUUUUAGGGAAUCAUAGAAUUCUUAGAGUUGGAAGGAACCUUUAAGUGCCAUUUUGGAAGCAGGGGUUGUCAUGAUCAACACAUAGUGGCUAAAGAGCAUGGUCUGAUUUUUUUAUUUUUCUUUCUUCUUAUUUCCCAUCUCAAUCUCUAGCUAUAGAGCUGCCAAAACCUGGAAUCAUCAUCUCAGUGGCAGCCCAUUGGUGCCAAGGGUUGCCAUUGAGUCCCUUGAAGCUGAACAAGCCUGAGUCCUGCAGCCUCUCUCUGCAUGACAAGGGUCUCAAGCCCCGACUGUCUCAGUGGGCCCUGCUGAACUUGCUCCCAUUAGUGAUGUCUCUUUCAAUAGGGAUCCUAUUGAGGGGAGGACUGAAUGCAGUAUCAAGAUGCAGCCUACGAAGUGCUAAGUAAAGGGGGAUACAUAUCAUUGUCCCUUGAUUUGUGCUCAAAUUCAUGCUGCCCAGGCGCACUGCUGCCUAUGCUUGGGGGCUGCAGCAUAUGAACAGUGAUGCCAUGUAAAGCAAAUAGGGAAACUGUUAAAAUGCAACAAAAGGAAAAAAACAGCUUUAUAUAUCUUUCUUUUCCAGGAGGCUGUGCAGUUUAUCUGUUGUAUUUAAACGUAUUUCAUAUAGUUUUUCCAAACACAGGAAAAUAAACGUUACCAAUGUAUUAUACAAAAGAAUAACACUCAUCAGCUUCUAAAGAAAAAUACCUGUGAUACAGGAAACAUGUAUAAUAUUUAAAAGCUCUGUCACUGAUAAUCUUGCUUUAUGUCAUCCAAGGCUUUUAAAGCUGCUCUCUGAGUAGAGAUCAAAUUUGUAAAUGAUAUUCAUGUUACAGUCAGUCAUAUAACUCUGAUUGUCACCGUGAUUUACAAAGGGAAAAACAUAGGCAUUCACAGCAACCUAAAUAGUAUUUGCUUUUUCUCUUUGUUAUAAUCAAAUGCUCAACUUCAGAUUCAAAAAAAAUCUAAUAAUGACUAAUGGGCAAUGAUCUUUUGUAUUAGCAGCAGUGCAUUCAAUAUCUCUUUGAGCAGUGAUUACCAUCUUUUUUGGGGGAGGAUAUCAAUUUAAAGGUCAAGUGCUUUCAUAAAAAAGGUGAUUAUCCACUAUUUCAUGUGUUGAACAAAAGCUUAGCAGGAUUCAUUGUGUGUCAGUUUCUUUUGUAUAUAGCAUAUAUGCAGAGAAAUGGAUCGCUUAAUUAUAUAACUAUCUGUCUUCAGGGUAGGUAUGUGAACAUGAAUAGAAGCUGUCAAAUAGGUACUUUGCUUUGCUUGUGUUAUUUAAUCAAUUACUGUAGUGAUUGCAGGCUAUAAGUUGGCUUUUAAAAAUAGGCAAAAAUUUAGAUUACUUGUGUGCCAUCAGCCAGGGCUUUGGUUAUAAAUGGGUGGUUUUAUUGGGAACAGAAUGCAGAACAAAGACAAAAAGGAAAAAGGAACAAACAAAACGGGGCCAAACUCAUGGCUGAUCCCUUUCUCUUUCAAUUCUUGUACUGUUCUUUUACAACCUCGAAAAAUAUUCUGUUUCUUAGAUGUAAUAAAAUGGCUGGGGUUAAAUUUAGAACUGAUCCAAGCAAGGGAACUUGAAGCUGGUUUUAGCCACUUCCGUUUUUUACUUUUUCUCCACCAUGGACUUUCAUCUGUUACAUUUCCAGUUUGAUAUCUCACUUAACAUUUCCAACAAAACGAUCACCUUUCUGUAUUUUCCAACUUGUUCUUUCUCCCACUUGUAAGACAGCUUUCAUCCAUGAGAUAGUCUUCAUCUGGAGACGUUCUCAUUUGUCAAUGUGAAUUACCACGUUAGUAUGUACUUUCCUUGUUCGCAGUUUUUGUUUUUUUGGAUCAUAUCCUUAUUUCUAUUGAUGUGCCCACUAUUUGCCACAUAAUUCAUGUCUGUUUGAUCUGCUGCAUUUUAGAAAUCACCUUCCAUUGCUGAUUUACUGCUCGUUAUUUGUGGCGUUCUGUUGGUCACCAUAGUUACAUGGCGUUGUUACUUCUCCCUUUGUAACACAGAAACUUUUAAAAAGAGAUAGUAAUAAACAAUACCCUGUGAAUAGAAUGGCAAUUAUGAACUCUUAAUUCUUAUUUUUUCAUACAAAAAACUUUGCAUGUGAGAUAAAGCUAUUUGUGUGAUGCACAGCUACAUCUUGGCCUUUUGCACAGGGAUCAGUGUUGAAAAAUAAGUGGUACACACCAGAUUGACCACAUGCCAGAGUGACUUCAUGCCAGGGAGAUUUUUAUCAAAUGCUUUCUGUAAAUGAAGUGGCUCUUGCCUUUUAUAUUUAUUUAUUUAUUUUUGAAGUAAAAUAUCUCUAAAAAUGUAAUAUCCAGAUCAGAAAUCUUCUUGUUGUUUUAUAGGGUACUUAAUAUAUACUUUGAGCAUCCCAAGUAGGCUGGAAAUUGUAAUGGCUCUGCUUUCUACAAAAUUGCUGAGGAUAACCAGUUUUAUCUAGUGAGAGGAGGCAGAUGAGAGUGGUAGCUCCAUCAUCACAGGCUAAUGUGAAAAAAGAAAAAAAAACCCACAGGUUUUCAUUAGUGUUAUUGUAUAUUAGCCCCACUCCACACUAGAGGUUGUUGGUUUUUUUUAAUUAUAUGAGAGGUGCAUAUCAACACAGUUAGGAUAAUUCACUUGAUGAACGCAGCCAAAACCUGUGUUUGGUUUGUGGUGCCUAUAGAGCAUUCUUACAUAGUGCCUAGGUGAACAUCAACAUUUUAAACAAUAGGCACUAGCUAUUCUUGAGCUUCGUUCCUUUUUUUUUUUUCCAAUGGGUUUUUCUUGUGGCUGCACACAUGGUAAAUCUUUAGCUUCAAGUGUCCUUCUGUGGUGACCAACUAAAAUAUUAGCAAAAUAAAUGUUUUAUGGGAAAACGUUGGCAGAAACCCCAGCAGAAACAGGUGGUAUUGGGUUAUUUCAAUAUAGUGUAAUGAUGCAGCCAGGUUUCCAUCUGGACAGCAUGUGGUUGUGUCUACUUAGAGAGUAUCAAAGAGUGUGAGUAUGCACCAGGGAUAAUGGUGGUGCACGAAAGUGCAGCAGGAUGGCUACUUUACAAAAUAAUAGUCAGGGUUCUAGGUCCUUUGGGUUAAAUACUUUUACUGUCAGAAUCUGAAUUUCCUCAUAAAAUAUUAAAGAUGGAGCAAACCUCUGACAUGCAAUACCAAGCUGUGUAAUUAUAAGGCAGUUCCUGGAAGCCAAGUAUUGUUCACAUUAUAGCUAGGCGUUUAUUAUAAAAGAGUUCAUUACCCUUGGAAGCUAAGACAUAUUUCAAAGAGAGUGCCCUGGAACUGAAGCUCUUUCAGCAAGCUUUGCUAUAGGAGGAAAAAGAGCCACAAGCAAGCUGAUCAGAGGAUAGCUAGGAAGUGGGAGUGGAGUUAGUGGAUCUUUGGCUGCUAGGAGCUGAGUCUGUACAUAGUGGGCCAGACGCUCAUCUGAAGUAAAUGGCUCCAUCUACACUGACUUAAGUGUCAUCACGUGGAAUUAUACCAGAUAAGGCAUUUUCAGCCUAAUACCAGAGGUGAUUUUCUUUUUGGCUGGCAGAUGCUCUCACAAACCAAAGGGCACAUUUUGCAAGGAUGUGCCACAAACCAUCUUCAUAUUUCUGUGCUCUCUGUGCAUGAAGGAAGGCUAAAUCUGAUUAUGUGGGGCUGGCAAAGGCUGAGUUCUGAGCAGGAUUUGGCCCAUUGCUUAUAAGAGAAGGUUUGCAAGAUUCCUUUGUAAAAUAUCUUUUUGUGGACAAGAGUGUAAGAAGGCAGUUUGUGGAGUGGGAGAAGAAAGGAGAAACAAACUCAGACUCCUUUGGGGUGGUCAGUUGGAGCAGAGGUGACACCGUGCAGCUUCCAGCACUUGGAAGUGUGGAGCAGAGAGUCAGCUCUGUCCCAAGCAAAGCACAGCUGUUAAUGAAUACACAGGGCCUGAUUCUUCACUGCCUUUGUAUUUUGUGCACGUUUAUUCCUGGUUUACAGUAUCAAUCAGCUUGAUAGCAUUUGACACCCUGUGUCAUUUGCUCAGUACAAGCGUAAAUCAUAGAAGCUGGGUUGAGGAAAAUUAAGACCAGGUCUCAGGCUGCCAUGAAUCAGGUAGCCUUGUGGUCUGCACUGAUGAUCCAGUGAUUUGCACCAGCUGAGGAACUGGCCUAAGCGCCCUUUCUUUGCUGAUAUAUCACUCCUAUACCUCUAUGUGUUAACAGCCUCUGUUUCUCUUUUUCCCUUGUUCAUGGAUGACCUGAUUACACUGGAAACUGUGCUUUUUGCCAGAGGGAAGAAACACCCAGAAGUUUAGGGUGCUGGCCAGCAGCGCUUGGCAGCUUGAGAACAACAUGCUGCUGCCAUUAGUGGGUAGUGCUACCCAGGGGUGCCAAGAGCCAUGCAAAAUGAGAUGAAAUCCAACAGCUGAUGAAUGUGAUGAUUAAAAGAUCUGUGAAGUAUUUAACAAUAAUGGGUAGCGGACAGUUUUUGGAAGGAACAAAACGAUCUGCACACACCUGACACUAAGGAUAAUACCUCUUUGUGUCACACGUAGAUCUCUUUCUCCUUUCCUGAACAGAUCCUAUCUCAAGGUCUUGUUUGCAAUGCCGAUAUGGAGUGGAAAUGUUUAAAUGCUCUGCUGGGCCCAACAUACAUUGGUUCUCCUGGAGCUGCAAUGUCUUGAGCUGGAGGAGAAAUGAGAGAUCAUCUGAAAUCUGCAUGGAUGAAGGUCGGACUGUGCCCCAAAGCCUGGUGACUCCUCCCCAGCUGUACCCAGCAGCAAAAGGAAGAGGAUCAUCACUAACGCUAUGAACUUUCAUUCUCCAGAGGCAGCCAUCAACGAAUUAAAAUCGAGUGGCAGCAAGCAGCUACUCAGCCUAACCACUUUCUCUGCUCGGCACGGGGGCUGGAUUCAGCAGAGGUGAGGCUUGGAAAUGAAAGCCAGGAGAGGGAUUGGGAAGGGAAAACCAGCCAAUUGAGAUCACAGAGAAAGAGACGUUAAUGGCAAAGAUCACACACAACAAAACCAAACAAAAUGAAGCAGCUAAAGACGGUGAUUAUAUAGAUCUGAGCAGAUUGUUGACUAUGUGGAAUUGCAAUUAUCUCUCAGGCUCCUGGGACCUUGCUCGGGGAAUCAUUACUACAAAACCAAGAAGAUUGUUCUCAGGUGCAGAACAUAUUGAUUUUGCUGUUCUCCAGCAUCCUGCAAAGCAACUGACCAUGUCAUUUAAGUGUUCGUUA
This is a long non-coding RNA of Gallus gallus (chicken), 10080 nucleotides long. The record is from Ensembl. NCBI's taxonomy places the organism in Eukaryota, Metazoa, Chordata, Aves, Galliformes, Phasianidae.